RNAcentral lists this non-coding RNA (30 nucleotides) under Cricetulus griseus (Chinese hamster). Lineage: Eukaryota; Metazoa; Chordata; Mammalia; Rodentia; Cricetidae. The record is from RNAcentral.
UUGUCUAUGAGGUGUCUUUGUGUCUACGUG